This 232-nucleotide long non-coding RNA is filed under the name Homo sapiens (human). RNAcentral's name for it is "HSALNT0323336". The record is from RNAcentral. Lineage: Eukaryota; Metazoa; Chordata; Mammalia; Primates; Hominidae.
UCAGCGUAGUCUGCAUCUAGGCUUUCUGGAGCAUCUUCCAGGGUCGCUCCAGAGACCCCCCAGACUACUGAAUCUGAAUCCUUAGAGUGGUCCAACCUUCCUCUUCAGGUGUCUACUAGAGGCAAGUGAGGCUUCUUAAGGAGUGGAGGAAAGUGGAUGUUUUCAAGUAUCUCUGCAGUUCCCAUUUCCAACCCCCAGCCUCUGGUAACCAGCAUUCUACUCUCUACUUCUG